Molecule: ribosomal RNA, 443 nt
Filed under: uncultured bacterium
Lineage: Bacteria
Description: partial 16S ribosomal RNA
Rfam family: Bacterial small subunit ribosomal RNA
Source: RNAcentral
CUACGGGUGGCUGCAGUGGGGAAUUUUGCGCAAUGGGCGAAAGCCUGACGCAGCAACGCCGCGUGAGGGAUGAAGGUUCUCGGAUCGUAAACCUCUUUCAGACGGGAAGAACACAAUGACGGUACCGUCAGAAGAAGCCCCGGCUAACUCCGUGCCAGCAGCCGCGGUAAUGACGGAGGGGGCAAGCGUUGUUCGGAAUCAUUGGGCGUAAAGCGUAUGUAGGCGGCCAGAUAAGUCAGACGUGUAAGCCCACGGCUCAACCGUGGAAUUGCGUUUGAAACUGUCUGGCUUGAGUACGGGAGAGGAAAGCGGAAUUCCCAGUGUAGCGGUGAAAUGCAUUGAUAUUGGGAAGAACAUCGGUGGCGAAGGCGGCUUUCUGGCCCGAUACUGACGCUGAGAUACGAAAGCCAGGGGAGCAAACGGGAUUAGAUACCCCGGUAGUC